AUGUUUGAUACAAAGAAAAAAUUGAAGUAUGCGGUGAUAAAGUGGGCUAUGUCUACGCAGAGGGUUUUCCGGACACACAUAUCAAGUCCAACAAACUAUACCGUGAAAUGUGUUGAAACAGGUUAUCCUGGGAAGGUGCACGGGCACGUGCCGAAGUAUGACAUCCACUGGGUUGUCACCAUUGUCGUCCCACAUAAUUGUGUGAGGAAGAACCUGCUGGUGAAGCAUCCGAACCUGACUUCAAGUCUCAUUGCGCCUCAUGUAUACUGA
Molecule: ribosomal RNA, 270 nt
Filed under: Triticum aestivum (bread wheat)
Lineage: Eukaryota; Viridiplantae; Streptophyta; Magnoliopsida; Poales; Poaceae
Description: partial small subunit ribosomal RNA
Source: RNAcentral